CGACCCUCCAUACUUGGCACACAGCCUUAUUUGAAAUAUCAGCAACGAAGACUGUGUCAUCGAAUGAUGUGGCGUGCACUGCCUGCCGAAACCCAGUGGUCGAACGUGACGGAAGCCCCCUGCUCUCGCACGCAUUCUAGCCACCAUGAGACAGGCAUGGAACAUCGGUAUUUCAACACGAGAAACAAUAGCGGGCGAGUUUCUUUAGAAAAAAUGAAUAUGUUUUAACAAAAUUCAUGUACGAGGCGAGGAAGAACAGCAGAAGAAAAGCACACGAACGCGUUGGGUCUUUCAGUAAAAGGUUGUUGAAAACAUUGGAUGGUUCUAUCACAUAUCAAUAUAAUUCAACUUGUCUACUAAAAUGUCCCUGCUCAGAACCUUUCAGUUGUCUGCAUACAUUUUCUGCCUUUAACCGGGUUCGUUUCAUUCCCUGCACUGCCUUGAUGCUGUCAACCAAAAAUUUCCCAUGCUUAAUUCAACCAUAAGCGCUCAAGAUGAGGUUAAUAGUUAGUGUGCAAGAAGCGCGUGCCUAAGAAAACCAUGCCGACACGCGGUACCAGCUAGGCAGCGUGCGUACUGAAGUAUAAACGCGCGGCGAGGGAGCUGGGGAUGCGGUACGCGCUACGCGACCGGCGUAACUGCUUUGAAAUAAACAACCUACAUGUCGGCGAACCAUUCUGCAUUGCACUUAGGAUGUUUUAAAAACUUGUAGCAACUGAUUCCACUGCCAACUUUCUUUGGGCAUUAUAAGCUGUGCCGAAGAUUGGCAUUACAACGACCGCAAAUUUAAGUUACAGCAGACACGAAACGCGCCAAACGUUCAGUGAAAUGAACAGGAUGCCGCUACACUCACAUACAAGCGAGCGCCGUCCGCUCCGUUGUCUUUUUUAGGAGACAUAGACAGAUGAAAAGAGCGUUAAAUGUGUGAAGCCGCCAACUGAGAAAUGAAAUCUUUACCACUGUCCAAACACGAAAUGCUUCCACCAUCACACCAAUAACAUCACUGGCACCUCUGACAUUUAUUUCUGUAAUUCAUUGCUUGUUUUCAUUUUUUUUUCAUUUUUGCUUGUGCCUCUAAGUGCCUUUUUCUAACAUGGCGGCAGCGAGCAGGCAUCAGCCACACCGGAGCGCGGCCAUCCACGGUGCUAUCAUCUCUCCUCCUCGGCCCAAUCGAGAUAGCUCGAGUUGCACGCUGGGAAGAUUUUAAGCGGGAGCGGGAGGCUCGGAGCCGGCGGGAGUGGUUAGCGCGCUGUCGUCCUGUCGUUGUUGUCGUUCUGAGACGGCCAUUAUAUUUGACUUGUUUGGAUACCAUCCGAUCACCAUUGUGUGCUGCCACCACUUGUAGCCUGCAGUAGUUAUUACCGCUUCUACUGGGAACUUGCGCCAUCCGCUGCACCCUCAUGCCUUUGUGCAGCAGAGACCUUUUCGGUGUGUUGCGCGGUCGCUGCAACGAGCCGGGUUGUGAGUGCAAGCGAUACACCAUUCUGCGCCUGUCGGAAAGUGACAACCUGGUGAGGUGUGACUAUUGUGACCACGUCCCAAAUGCACACGGAAAAAUAUGUGAUCUCGAAACGAAAAAUGCAGCCGAGGCAAAGGUGCAAUGCAAUGUGCCAGGCACCGCUGUUCGAGGCCUCAGUGUCACAUGAAACUGUGGAAGCUUGCACAUCUAGUCUCCUCAGUGCAAUAUGAGAGGACUGUCCCAGUUGGUGCCUCCAUAGAAAAUGAAUCGGCCUGAAUGCCUGUGCAAGAAUCACAACCUGGCUGCUCUAAAGACUCCGCACCGUAGUCCCAUGUGCAAGAGCCCCCACUUGACAGCCCAGUGGUUGCCAUGGACAAAGAGAUCCGCGAUACUGAAUGCGGCCAAGCAGUACAAGUUUUUACAUGGACAGUUAACACGAAGUUAUUGACGACAUGCAUGGCUGAAACACGGUGAUAUGAUUUUAAAAAUUCCUGUGUUAUGAUGCAAGUGAUAGUAUUCUGUUGAAUUUUCAGAUCUAGUCAUGUGCCAGCAAGGCCUGCUGUACUUCUGGUGUAUUCUAUGUUGUAUUUUCAAAUAAAGAUGUUGCAUUCUGAAGUUAACCUUAUACUGCCUGUGGAACUGUCAAUUUAUACUCAGAUUAUUUAUACAAGCUAACGGCGCCUCCUCCUCAGGCGUUCAAAUUGUGUUUUGAACUGUAUUUUUGAGAACAUUACCGUUACAUAUUUGCUCAAAAGGUGCCGCACGGGGAGUUUCAUUUCGUCAGAAAUCCCAAGGGAUACAGUAUAGUAGUAUCAUGGUAGCCCUUCGUUGGCUGAAAUACAACGAUUUAAGUGAUUUAAAUGAAAGUAAACUUUUGACACCACAUUCAGUUGAGCGUUCCUUUUUUUUUUUUCAGAGAAUUUCAUGUGGGCCCCGCUCUUUACAUGGUCCGACGAGCCCGGUGCGGCCUAGCAACGGGGAGGCGCCACCUUGGGUUUUGUUCCAGAAAGGCCAAAUCUCCGCAUGGUGCACCGAGUCGGCUGCCGCCAAACAACAGAGGUUCAGAGAGACACAGCGACACCCUUUGUUCCGAAAACCGCACGAGGUGGACACGUGAACUAUUUCGAAGCGCAAGCGCAUGUAAAGGCAGCGUCCGGAAAGGACUGGCCGAGGGGCUUCCUCCGCGAAGGCUCACAUUUCUCCGCGCCCGGUUGUAGACUGCUUAAUCCGGCCGCGGAAAGAAGCGCGCAAGAAAGAAGAGGCGCAAGCAGAAAGAAGCGCGAAAGAAGGAAGAGACGCACCUUUGUUGCUAGGCGACAACUGCCUUGGCGGAGCAUGCGCAGAGCAACGGGCUUUUAUGAAACAUACCGCAGAAAGAAGAGCCGCGUCCCCGUUGCUAGGCGACACCGGCUCUAUAUACGGAGCAUGCGCAGCACGGUGUCCAUCUGGCACCUCCUGCAAGCCGCUUUGUGUGAACAUUUUAAUCGUUCAACCGGUAUAUUGUAAAAGUAACCUUUAUAUUUAGGCAAAGACACUCAAUACUGUAUGCCUAUACUAGAGGUUAAAGUGUUGUAACCUCUAGUUGAGGUGCACGCUUUCUUACCUUUAAUAGAAGUUAAAUUUGUAAAGGUUGAUUUGUAACUUAUAAGUUAAAGGUGCACAAAUCUGUGAGAAUGUACCCCUUUAGUAAA
Molecule: long non-coding RNA, 3150 nt
Organism: Dermacentor albipictus
Lineage: Eukaryota; Metazoa; Arthropoda; Arachnida; Ixodida; Ixodidae
Source: RefSeq, a predicted model, not a curated record